This 740-nucleotide ribosomal RNA is filed under the name Nocardioides luteus. RNAcentral's name for it is "bacterial SSU rRNA". It matches the Rfam family "Bacterial small subunit ribosomal RNA", at positions 71 to 827 of the family's 1533-position model. Lineage: Bacteria; Bacillati; Actinomycetota; Actinomycetes; Propionibacteriales; Nocardioidaceae. The record is from RNAcentral.
AAAGGCCCUUCGGGGUACUCGAGCGGCGAACGGGUGAGUAACACGUGAGUAAUCUGCCCCAGGCUCUGGGAUAGCCACCGGAAACGGUGAUUAAUACCGGAUACGACAACCGAUUGCAUGAUCUGGUUGUGGAAAGUUUUUCGGCCUGGGAUGUGCUCGCGGCCUAUCAGCUUGUUGGUGAGGUAAUGGCUCACCAAGGCUUCGACGGGUAGCCGGCCUGAGAGGGUGACCGGCCACACUGGGACUGAGACACGGCCCAGACUCCUACGGGAGGCAGCAGUGGGGAAUAUUGGACAAUGGGCGGAAGCCUGAUCCAGCAACGCCGCGUGAGGGAUGACGGCCUUCGGGUUGUAAACCUCUUUCAGCACAGACGAAGCGCAAGUGACGGUAUGUGCAGAAGAAGGACCGGCCAACUACGUGCCAGCAGCCGCGGUAAUACGUAGGGUCCGAGCGUUGUCCGGAAUUAUUGGGCGUAAAGGGCUCGUAGGCGGUCUGUCGCGUCGGGAGUGAAAACCAGGUGCUUAACACCUGGCCUGCUUUCGAUACGGGCAGACUAGAGGUACUCAGGGGAGAAUGGAAUUCCUGGUGUAGCGGUGAAAUGCGCAGAUAUCAGGAGGAACACCGGUGGCGAAGGCGGUUCUCUGGGAGUAUCCUGACGCUGAGGAGCGAAAGUGUGGGGAGCGAACAGGAUUAGAUACCCUGGUAGUCCACACCGUAAACGUUGGGCGCUAGGUGUGGGA